UUUUUCUUUUCUUUUUUUUUGAGACAGAGUCUAACUCUGUUGACCAGGCUGGAGUUCACUGGUGCAAUCUCAGCUCACAGCAACCUCUGCCUCCUGGGCUCAAGCCAUCCUCUCACCUCAGCCUCCCAAGUAGCCAGGAUUACAGGCAUACACCACCAGGCCUGGCUAAUUUCUAUACUUUUUGUAGAGACAGGGUUUCGCCAUGUUGCCUAGGCUGAUCUCAAACUCCUGGGUUCAAGUGAUCCACCCGCCUCAGCAUCCCAAAGUACUGGGAUUUCAGGUAUGGGCCUCUGCACCAGGUCUUGAGGUGACAGGUUUCAACCAGAUGCUCCUGGCAGGGCCAGUAAGGCCCAGCACACCUGGCAGGAAACAAUGAUGUUUUUCUCCCCUCACUCCAGGUAUGGAAUCACAGCAACUAACAGCUUCUCCUGGAUGUGCCCUGCAAAUGGAAACCGACAUGGCAUGACAUCUUGAAUCCGAGGGGGGGAAAUCUGCUCAAACAGACAGCUAUUUAAAAGGUUCUCUUCCCAUUUGUACCUGAUGCUCUCUUCUGACUCUGAAUGCAGAAGACAAAGGCCCAUCUCCUUGGAAAAAUACACAGCAUGAAACUUGGGUCCGCGUACCCUCUCCAGCUGUCCCUUCCCGCUCCCCGUCACACACUGCACUUGUCACAGCACCACCCAACCCACCAGGUCUUCCAGGGCUCUGUGGAGGAGGGGGAGAGUGGGGACAGUGCCAGGUACCGUGUUACACACUUUCAUCCAUUAUCGUUUUAAUUCUCACGACAACUUUGCAAUUGUGGUGGCAGCAUUCCCAUUUUACAUAAGGGAAAAUUAACUUUAAUGAAAUUACACAUGAAAGGAAAAAGUACUUAAAAACUGACACAAUUAGCUUCUGCCUUCUGAGACAGUGACAUCCUUCAAAGCAUGGAAAAUGGACGUCUUUACUGCCCGUUUCCCUAUGGAAGGAGACAGGGUCCACCCCACAUGAGCCGGCCCGGCCUGCCAUGAGUCCGCAGGCACGGGAAUCCAUGCACAGAAGGAGGCCUGGAGCUGAGCUCAGGGGUGGGGACUGUUUUUGCUCUGUAUAACAAAAACAGAGGGCGGUGGGUGUUAGAGCUGCUUGGGAGCAGCAAAGGGGGAGAGGUGGAAAGGGCAAGAAAUAUAGGAAGACACAGCAGCCAACCUGGCAAAAAGGCCGGAGGGGAUUUCUCAGCACAGAAGUUUCAGACAGUCAACAUUCACAUUACCGUGAUGUCAGCUCCAUCUUCCCAAAAACUGGAGUGCAGGCUGAACCAAAACCAGAAGGGAGAGGGAGAGGGAUGUGUGGAAUGCGUCAUGUGUGAAGUGCAUGUGUGCCUGCGUGUGUAUGUGUGUUAAUGCAUGUGUGUGCGUGUGUGUACAUGUGCCUGCGUGUGAGUGUAUGUGUGUAUGAGUGCGCAUGUGUACGUGUGUGCCUGUGUGACCAUGUGAUGUGUGCCUGUGUAAUGCCUGUGCCUAUGUGUAUGUGUGUAUGAGUGCGCAUGUGUACUUGUGUGCCUGUGUGUAUGAGACCAUGUGUGCAUGUGUGUGUGCCUAUGUGUACGUGUGCCUGUGUGUAUGUGAGUACAUGUGUGCAUGUGUGAGUGCAUCUGUGUG
Macaca fascicularis (crab-eating macaque) is the source of this 1637-nucleotide long non-coding RNA. The record is from Ensembl. Lineage: Eukaryota; Metazoa; Chordata; Mammalia; Primates; Cercopithecidae.